UUGGCGGUGAACGAGGGCUA
Molecule: non-coding RNA, 20 nt
Filed under: Arabidopsis thaliana (thale cress)
Lineage: Eukaryota; Viridiplantae; Streptophyta; Magnoliopsida; Brassicales; Brassicaceae
Source: RNAcentral